Molecule: non-coding RNA, 158 nt
Organism: Tinamus guttatus (white-throated tinamou)
Lineage: Eukaryota; Metazoa; Chordata; Aves; Tinamiformes; Tinamidae
Source: RefSeq, a predicted model, not a curated record
CAGCCUUUGAUGGAUUCCUAAAAACUGAUGAAAGACAACGACUGGCAAAGGAGAGGAGAGAAGAAAGGGAGAAAUACCUUGCUGCUAGGGAGCAGCAGAUACUGGAGAAGGAGAGAAGGGCAAAACUUCAAUAUGAAAAACAAAUAGAGGAACGAUGG